This 67-nucleotide transfer RNA is filed under the name Triatoma huehuetenanguensis. RNAcentral describes it as "tRNA-Trp". The record is from RNAcentral. Lineage: Eukaryota; Metazoa; Arthropoda; Insecta; Hemiptera; Reduviidae.
AAAGCUUUAAGUUAAAAAAACUAUUAACCUUCAAAGUUAAAAUUACAGGUAUUUAAUGUAAGCUUUA